This 49-nucleotide ribosomal RNA is filed under the name Aspergillus lentulus. RNAcentral describes it as "5.8S ribosomal RNA". Lineage: Eukaryota; Fungi; Ascomycota; Eurotiomycetes; Eurotiales; Aspergillaceae. The record is from RNAcentral.
ACGCUGUUCUGAAAGUAUGCAGUCUGAGUUGAUUAUCAUAAUCAGUUAA